GUGCCAGCAGCCGCGGUAAGACGAACCGUGCGAACGUUGUUCGGAAUCACUGGGCUUAAAGGGCGCGUAGGCGGGCCACAAAGUCAGGGGUGAAAUCCUCCAGCUCAACUGGAGAACUGCCUUUGAUACUGGUGGUCUUGAGUGGGGUAGGGGCAUGCGGAACAAUGGGUGGAGCGGUGAAAUGCGUUGAUAUCCAUUGGAACUCCGGUGGCGAAAGCGGCGUGCUGGACCUCUACUGACGCUGAGGCGCGAAAGCCAGGGGAGCAAACGGGAUUAGAAACCCCUGUAGUCC
RNAcentral lists this ribosomal RNA (292 nucleotides) under uncultured bacterium. Its description in RNAcentral is "partial 16S ribosomal RNA". It matches the Rfam family "Bacterial small subunit ribosomal RNA", at positions 505 to 796 of the family's 1533-position model. The record is from RNAcentral.